RNAcentral lists this ribosomal RNA (1143 nucleotides) under Yersinia enterocolitica. RNAcentral describes it as "partial 23S ribosomal RNA". It matches the Rfam family "Bacterial large subunit ribosomal RNA", at positions 1790 to 2925 of the family's 2925-position model. The record is from RNAcentral. Lineage: Bacteria; Pseudomonadati; Pseudomonadota; Gammaproteobacteria; Enterobacterales; Yersiniaceae.
CUGGCUGCAACUGUUUAAUAAAAACACAGCACUGUGCAAACACGAAAGUGGACGUAUACGGUGUGACGCCUGCCCGGUGCUGGAAGGUUAAUUGAUGGGGUCAGCCGCAAGGCGAAGCUCUUGAUCGAAGCCCCAGUAAACGGCGGCCGUAACUAUAACGGUCCUAAGGUAGCGAAAUUCCUUGUCGGGUAAGUUCCGACCUGCACGAAUGGCGUAAUGAUGGCCAGGCUGUCUCCACCCGAGACUCAGUGAAAUUGAACUCGCUGUGAAGAUGCAGUGUACCCGCGGCAAGACGGAAAGACCCCGUGAACCUUUACUAUAGCUUGACACUGAACAUUGAGCCUUGAUGUGUAGGAUAGGUGGGAGGCAUUGAAGUGUGGACGCCAGUCUGCAUGGAGCCAACCUUGAAAUACCACCCUUUAAUGUUUGAUGUUCUAACUCGGCCCCAUAAUCUGGGGUGAGGACAGUGUCUGGUGGGUAGUUUGACUGGGGCGGUCUCCUCCCAAAGAGUAACGGAGGAGCACGAAGGUUAGCUAAUCACGGUCGGACAUCGUGAGGUUAGUGCAAAGGCAUAAGCUAGCUUGACUGCGAGAGUGACGGCUCGAGCAGGUACGAAAGUAGGUCUUAGUGAUCCGGUGGUUCUGAAUGGAAGGGCCAUCGCUCAACGGAUAAAAGGUACUCCGGGGAUAACAGGCUGAUACCGCCCAAGAGUUCAUAUCGACGGCGGUGUUUGGCACCUCGAUGUCGGCUCAUCACAUCCUGGGGCUGAAGUAGGUCCCAAGGGUAUGGCUGUUCGCCAUUUAAAGUGGUACGCGAGCUGGGUUUAGAACGUCGUGAGACAGUUCGGUCCCUAUCUGCCGUGGGCGUUGGAAGAUUGAGAGGGGCUGCUCCUAGUACGAGAGGACCGGAGUGGACGAAUCACUGGUGUUCGGGUUGUCAUGCCAAUGGCAUUGCCCGGUAGCUAAAUUCGGAAGAGAUAACCGCUGAAAGCAUCUAAGCGGGAAACUUGCCUCGAGAUGAGUCUUCCCUGGGGCUUUAAGCCCCCUGAAGGAACGUUAAAGACUAUGACGUUGAUAGGCUGGGUGUGUAAGUGCAGCGAUGCAUUGAGCUAACCAGUACUAAUGAUCCGUGAGGCUUAACCUU